RNAcentral lists this ribosomal RNA (331 nucleotides) under uncultured eukaryote. RNAcentral's name for it is "partial 18S ribosomal RNA". It matches the Rfam family "Eukaryotic small subunit ribosomal RNA", at positions 1470 to 1796 of the family's 1831-position model. The record is from RNAcentral.
CCCUUAGAUGUUCUGGGCCGCACGCGCGCUACACUGUUCGACGCAGCGAGUCUUAACCUUGACCGAAAGGUUUGGGUAAUCUUCAGCAAAGUCGAACGUGAUGGGGAUCGAUCAUUGCAAUUAUUGAUCGUGAACGAGGAAUUCCUAGUAAGUGCAAGUCAUCAGCUUGCGCUGAUUACGUCCCUGCCCUUUGUACACACCGCCCGUCGCUACUACCGAUUGAAUGGUUUAGUGAGAUCUCUGGAUUGACGCUGGCUAGGGGGCGACCCUUGGCCAGACUGUUGAGAAACUGCUCAAACUUGAUCAUUUAGAGGAAGGAGAAGUCGUAACA